RNAcentral lists this ribosomal RNA (505 nucleotides) under uncultured bacterium. RNAcentral's name for it is "partial 16S ribosomal RNA". It matches the Rfam family "Bacterial small subunit ribosomal RNA", at positions 899 to 1397 of the family's 1533-position model. The record is from RNAcentral.
ACUCAAAUGAAUUGACGGGAAUCCGCACAAGUGGUGGAGCAUGUGAUUUAAUACGAUAAUACGCGUAAAACCUUACCAGUUUUUGCAUAAUUGUAGUUAGUUAUAGAGAUAUAAUAUUAACGUUAUUCAAUUACAGGUGGUGCAUGGCUGUCGUCAGCUCGUGUCGUGAGAUGUAAGGUUUGGUCCCAAAACGAGCGCAACCCCCAUAAUUAGUUGCUAAUAAUUUUUUAAUAAAAAAUUAAGAACUUUAAUUAAACUGCCUGUAUUUAAAUAGGAGGAAGGAGGGGAUAACGUCAAGUCCGCAUGCCCCUAAUAAACUGGGCUAUACACGUGCUACAAUGGCAAUGACAAUAGGAAGCAAUGAUGAGAGUCGGAGCAAAUCGUUAAACAUUGUCUUAGUUCAGAUUAUUCUCUGCAAGUCGAGAAUAUAAAGAUGGAAUCACCAGUAAUCGCGAAUCAGCACGUCGCGGUGAAUUAGUUCCCGGAUUUUGCACACACCGCCCGU